GUUAGCUGUGUGCAGUUCAGUGCACAUUCAGUGUAAUUCCGGCCAACGAGUGGAUCGCACGUGUUCAUCGCGACUAGUUUUGGUUUCUUCAGAACAUAAUUAAGUACAUCGACUAAUAUUUAAUAAAGAAUAGGCGACAUGCCCUAGAAUCGGACGUGAUCGAGUUCACGCGUGUGUCGUUCCGUCGGCUGACAGUUAUUUUCUUGCACCUAACAAUAACUUAGAUUUAAAAUUAAUUCCUGUAAAUAGACAACGUUAGUGCUCUGAGAAGAAGUUUGUGAGUGCACGAACCAUGGAGUUUUCAUUAUGACGGUAGUGUUCGAGAUGCGCGUAUUUCAAGGCAAGUCUUUACUGCUACGGGAUUUGAUACCGUCGAUAUUUCUUAAAAAAAAUGUAUUGUUAAAUAUAAUCAAUAAAAAACGAUUUAAAAUUUAA
Dalotia coriaria is the source of this 435-nucleotide long non-coding RNA. RefSeq lists it as uncharacterized. The record is from RefSeq and is a predicted model, not a curated record. The transcript is spliced from 2 exons. NCBI's taxonomy places the organism in Eukaryota, Metazoa, Arthropoda, Insecta, Coleoptera, Staphylinidae.